This 562-nucleotide long non-coding RNA is filed under the name Androctonus crassicauda. Lineage: Eukaryota; Metazoa; Arthropoda; Arachnida; Scorpiones; Buthidae. The record is from RNAcentral.
GGCCACUGUGAGCCCUGGGGUAACCUGUCCUCUGAUGUUCUGCACUCUGUUCCUCGAGUCACCGGCACUUUGAUGGCUGACUGGACCUGAUCAUGAGUGUUUGUAGGGUUAGAGAGGCUGAACCAUGAUGUACUGAAAGCCCUCGCUGUGGUUCAGCACUGUAGUGUGCGAUUCUUGCUGUGACCCAGCGCUGCUGUAGCACUGUUGCUGCCGUGGCUCGGCGCUGGGGCACAACCCCUUUCCCUUUGCGGUACUGAAAGGAUUGAAAGAAGAGGUCAUGGCGCUGUCAUGCUCUGGGGGAGAAUUUUACUUCUCACAUGGAAACUGCACUUUUUGCUAAAUCCUUUGCAUUUUGAUGUUCACUUAGUGUCCAGCCCUUUAGGAUGGGCUGGCCAGGGUAGGUUGGCCCCCUGGACUCAACUUCACUGGGGAACUUGACGCUGCAGUUGUGAAUCAGGGAAGCCAUGCUGUCUCCAGGUAUGGGGUGAAGCUGAACAUGGGCUCAUUAUUUCCAAAUGCCCUGUCUGGUCUGCUCACUAGGAUGUGCUGACUUUGGGCACUA